Molecule: ribosomal RNA, 479 nt
Filed under: uncultured Glomus
Lineage: Eukaryota; Fungi; Glomeromycota; Glomeromycetes; Glomerales; Glomeraceae
Description: SSU rRNA
Rfam family: Eukaryotic small subunit ribosomal RNA
Source: RNAcentral
AGCAGCCGCGGUAAUUCCAGCUCCAAUAGCGUAUAUUAAAGUUGCUGCAGUUAAAAAGCUCGUAGUUGAAUUUCGGGACUAAUAUGUUGGUCGUGCCUCGGUACGUACUGAUAUUUUUGGUUUCUCCCUUCUGACGAACCUUGAUGUCAUUAAUUUGGUGUCUUGGGAAAUCAGGACUGUUACUUUGAAAAAAUUAGAGUGUUUAAAGCAGGCUCACGCUUGAAUACAUUAGCAUGGAAUAAUGAAAUAGGACGUUUGAUUCUAUUUUGUUGGUUUCUAGGAUYGACGUAAUGAUUAAUAGGGAUAGUUGGGGGCAUUAGUAUUCAAUUGUCAGAGGUGAAAUUCUUGGAUUUAUUGAAGACUAACUACUGCGAAAGCAUUUGCCAAGGAUGUUUUCAUUAAUCAAGAACGAAAGUUAGGGGAUCGAAGACGAUCAGAUACCGUCGUAGUCUUAACCAUAAACUAUGCCGACUAGGGAU